This is an unclassified non-coding RNA of Macaca fascicularis (crab-eating macaque), 148 nucleotides long. It matches the Rfam family "Metazoan signal recognition particle RNA". From Rfam's summary of the family: The signal recognition particle (SRP) is a universally conserved ribonucleoprotein. It is involved in the co-translational targeting of proteins to membranes. NCBI's taxonomy places the organism in Eukaryota, Metazoa, Chordata, Mammalia, Primates, Cercopithecidae. The record is from Ensembl.
GCCGGGCGUGGUGGUGGUGCUCGCCUGUAGUCCCAGCUACUGGGAAGGCUGAGGCGGGAGGAUCACUUGAGCUCAGGAGUUCCAGGCUGCAGUGAGCUCUGAUACCACUGCGCCCUAGCCUGGGCGACAGAGCAAGACCCUGUCUCAG